Molecule: ribosomal RNA, 1418 nt
Filed under: Wetmoreana sp.
Lineage: Eukaryota; Fungi; Ascomycota; Lecanoromycetes; Teloschistales; Teloschistaceae
Description: partial large subunit ribosomal RNA
Rfam family: Eukaryotic large subunit ribosomal RNA
Source: RNAcentral
CCUCAGUAACGGCGAGUGAAGCGGCAACAGCUCAAAUUUGAAAUCUGGUCCUUCCGGGGCCCGAGUUGUAAUUUGUAGAGGAUGUUUCGGGCGCGGCGCCGGUCUAAGUCCUUUGGAACGGGGCGUCAUAGAGGGUGAGAAUCCCGUAUGUGACCGGUGACUAAGCCCAUGUGAAACUCCUUCGACGAGUCGAGUUGUUUGGGAAUGCAGCUCAAAAUGGGUGGUAAAUUUCAUCUAAAGCUAAAUACCGGCCAGAGACCGAUAGCGCACAAGUAGAGUGAUCGAAAGAUGAAAAGCACUUUGGAAAGAGAGUCAAAAAGUACGUGAAAUUGUUGAAAGGGAAGCGCUUGCAACCAGACCUGCCCGCGGGUGACCAGCCGUCCUUCUGGGCGGUGUACGCACCCGUGAUCAGGCCAGCAUCGGUUCAGGCGGCCGGAUAAAGGCCUUGGGAAUGUAGCUCCCUUCGGGGAGUAUUAUAGCCCUUGGCGCAAUGCGGCCAGCCUGGACCGAGGACCGCGCUCCGGCAAGGAUACUGGCGUAAUGGUUGUAAGCGGCCCGUCUUGAAACACGGACCAAGGAGUCUAACAUCUAUGCGAGUGUUUGGGUGUCAAACCCAUACGCGUAAUGAAAGUGAACGGAGGUGGGAACCCUUAAGGGCGCACCAUCGACCGAUCCAGAUGUCUUCGGAUGGAUUUGAGUACGAGCAUAGCUGUUGGGACCCGAAAGAUGGUGAACUAUGCCUGAAUAGGGUGAAGCCAGAGGAAACUCUGGUGGAGGCUCGCAGCGGUUCUGACGUGCAAAUCGAUCGUCAAAUUUGGGUAUAGGGGCGAAAGUAAGUCGGAUCCAGAGUAAUAUUUUAAGAAUUUCAGCUAACGGUAUCUCCAGGACUAAUCGAACCAUCUAGUAGCUGGUUCCAGCCGAAGUUUCCCUCAGGAUAGCAGUAACGUUUUCAGUUUUAUGAGGUAAAGCGAAUGAUUAGAGGCCUUAGGGAUGAAACAUCCUUAACCUAUUCUCAAACUUUAAAUAUGUAAGAAGUCCUUGUUACUUAGUUGAACGUGGACAUUUGAAUGCACCGUUACUAGUGGGCCAUUUUUGGUAAGCAGAACUGGCGAUGCGGGAUGAACCGAACGCGAGGUUAAGGUGCCGGAAUGCACGCUCAUCAGACACCACAAAAGAUGUCAGUUCAUCUAGACAGCCGGACGGUGGCCAUGGAAGUCGGAAUCCGCUAAGGAGUGUGUAACAACUCACCGGCCGAAUGAACUGGCUCUGAAAAUGGAUGGCGCUCAAGCGUGCUACCUAUACCUCGCCGCCAGGGUAGAAACGAUGCCCUGGCGAGUAGGCUGGCGUGGAGGUCCGUGACGAAGCCUUGGGGGUGACCCCGGGUCGAACGGCCUCUAGUGCAGAUCUUGGUGGUAGUA